GAAAAUUAGCAAUUGAUGUCUAUAUAUAAUUGAUAUCAUUGAUAAUUUUGAUAUAAAUGAUAAUUUCUCAGAAAUUUAGGCCACCUCUCUCUGAGGAUGAUUUCUCCAGCCAUGGUAUAUAACCUUUUUAUAUCAUUCUUCUUACAGAGAGUCUGGAGCAAGGAGUCUAGAAGCGGUAGAUGAGGAAUGUAUGCUGAUGAGUGAGACUCCAAUAACACCAGGGUCCUUUAGCAGGCAUAUCUUGAAAGCACUGAUGAUGAACUGUGUGACAUAUAAGAAAAUAACCGCAGUUACCAUGCUCUGCCCUCUCAGACCGCCUACACGGAGAGGUUCUAAAAAAAGGUCUCAACAAAAUUUACUAUCUACCUAUUUGCUACCUAAUGACAUAAGAGGAAGCUGAAUGGGUCAACUGUGAGGCAGGAAGGUUUCAAUUCAGUGGAGGAAAGAAGAUCUUGGUGGAAUGAAUUACUGACUUUAACUACUGGAAUAAGCAGCUAAAUAAGGCUACAAAACUCCUCGGAGAAAGGAGGACAAAUUUACCUCACAGACGCCACCUGACUUAUUUAAAUUUUGAAUUCCAAGUGAGUGAGGCUGUCCACCACUGCUUGAACAAAUACUAACAUACUGGAUUCCUAUUCUUUUUGGGUGUGUAAUGCAAAGGCCACCCAGGUAAUCUGACUUCCUACCAAUCUUGGAUUAAUUGGCUUUAAGACGGUCACAAAGUACCAUAAUGGUAACUUCUGGAAAAUGGUCUUUUACUAGAGAUAUUUUCCUGCUGCUACUCCAGAAAUGACUCUGGGUAAGCUCCUGUUUUAUGUCAUGUAGUAGCUUGGAGCCAGUGUAUGGUAGAGUCCAUUGCAUCCCACUAGGUCUGAUAAUAUGUUUUCGGAUCUUCAACAACCCUUCCCUUAAACAGUUGUGAAGUGAAGAUGGGAAGGAAUCAGGGGUGGGGACUAUGUGAGCCUAAGUCCAAUGUUUGGGCUGCUUGAGUGUCCCAGUAUGCCAACAAAUGAUUACAGAGUGAUGGCACAGAGGACGUGCUUAAUGCUGAUCUUCUACAUAUGAAUCUUGAUACUGGAUUUUGCUGCCUUUCCCUAAGUUAUUUCUCUUUUGUUCUCACCAUUUCCCCCAAGCAAUUGGUAUUAGAAUAGUUGAAACAAUAGGAAUCUCAAGAAAUAGAGUAUUAUUUAUUCAUUUACUCCUUUAUUUCAUACAUUUUAAUGACCACCUAUUGGGCAAGGUAAUGUACAAGUUGUUGGGAAUCCAAAUAUCAAAGACAUAGUUAAUGCAUUCAAGUUGGUUACAAUUUAGUGGAGAGAGACAGAAAAAUAAACAUAAAAUUAUCACAAUAGUGAUAAAUGGGAAUAGAGCAUAGUAGUUAUCAGUCUCAGCUCUGGAGUCUGACACAACUGGACUGGGAGUCUAAAUUCUAUCACUUAGGGUUCUAUCACCUUGGACAGUCAUUUAACAUCUGUGGGGAUACCAAUAGUAACUGAGACACAAAGAUGUUAUACAGAUUAGAUAAAAUGAUGCAUUGAAGUAUGUGUCACAGUGCCUGGCAUAUAAUAGGUCAGCCAGCAUUAUUGUUGAUAUCGGUGUUUGUUUAUUAUAUAAUAGAGGCACACACAUGCUGAUACUGGACAAGAGAGAGGACAUCGGAGGUGGAGUGUCACAGAAGACUUUCUGAAUAAGUGACAGUCUGUGUCUUGAUACUUGAAAGAGGAAUAGGGAUUAGGAAAGGCAGAAGAAGUAGGGGAGGGAAGGCCAAGGGUUAGUGCAAUGGCUGGAAGCGUGUAAUGAACAUUUGGAGGGCUACAAGAAAUUCCAUGCAUUUGGAGAAAACUGUUAAAAUAUGAGUGUGGGAAAGUCUGACCAUGAAGGGCCUUGUGUGGUACUGGGGUACUGCAAAACCACCAAAGUUCCUUCUUUUCAUGUAUCUUGGCCGUGUGUAAAACACCAAUAUCCUUCUAGUGAAUUCAUGAAUUUUUUUUCUAGAUUUCAGCAUUUCAGCAAUAUGUUGCUUGUAGUAAAAAUAAAAACAAUUCAAAAUA
This is a long non-coding RNA of Diceros bicornis minor, 2051 nucleotides long. RefSeq lists it as uncharacterized. The transcript has 4 exons. NCBI's taxonomy places the organism in Eukaryota, Metazoa, Chordata, Mammalia, Perissodactyla, Rhinocerotidae. The record is from RefSeq and is a predicted model, not a curated record.